UACAGAGGUCUCAAGCGUUGUUCGGAUUCAUUGGGCGUAAAGGGUGCGUAGGUGGCGGGGUUAGUCAGGUGUGAAAUCUCGGGGCUCAACCCCGAAACUGCACUCGAUACUGCCUUGCUAGAGUACUGGAGAGGAGAUUGGAAUUUACGGUGUAGCAGUGAAAUGCGUAGAUAUCGUAAGGAAGACCAGUGGCGAAGGCGAAUCUCUGGACAGUUACUGACACUGAGGCACGAAGGUCAGGGGAGCAAACGGG
This 253-nucleotide ribosomal RNA is filed under the name uncultured bacterium. RNAcentral describes it as "partial 16S ribosomal RNA". It matches the Rfam family "Bacterial small subunit ribosomal RNA", at positions 524 to 776 of the family's 1533-position model. The record is from RNAcentral.